Molecule: ribosomal RNA, 216 nt
Filed under: Glomeromycotina sp.
Lineage: Eukaryota; Fungi; Glomeromycota
Description: partial small subunit ribosomal RNA
Rfam family: Eukaryotic small subunit ribosomal RNA (bases 54-216)
Source: RNAcentral
GGGUCAGUAGGUUGGUCGUGCCACCGGUACGUACUGGUCUCACUGAUUCCCCCUUCCUGAAGAACCGUAAUGCCAUUAAUUUGGUGUUGCGGGGAAACAGGACUGUUACUUUGAAAAAAUUAGAGUGUUUAAAGCAAGCUAAUGCUUGAAUACAUUAGCAUGGAAUAAUGAAAUAGGACGAUCGAUCCUAUUUUGUUGGUUUCUAGGAUUGACGUA